This 468-nucleotide ribosomal RNA is filed under the name uncultured bacterium. RNAcentral describes it as "bacterial SSU rRNA". It matches the Rfam family "Bacterial small subunit ribosomal RNA", at positions 330 to 794 of the family's 1533-position model. The record is from RNAcentral.
UCCAGACUCCUACGGGAGGCAGCAGUGAGGAAUAUUGGUCAAUGGGCGCGAGCCUGAACCAGCCAAGUCGCGUGAGGGAUGACGGCCCUACGGGUUGUAAACCUCUUUUGUCGGGGAGCAAAUUCCGCCACGUGUGGCGGAGUCGAGAGUACCCGAAGAAAAAGCAUCGGCUAACUCCGUGCCAGCAGCCGCGGUAAUACGUAGGGGGCAAGCGUUAUCCGGAUUUACUGGGUGUAAAGGGAGCGUAGACGGCAGUGCAAGUCUGGAGUGAAAGGCGGGGGCUCAACCCCCGGACUGCUCUGGAAACUGUACGGCUGGAGUGCAGGAGAGGUAAGUGGAAUUCCUAGUGUAGCGGUGAAAUGCGUAGAUAUUAGGAGGAACACCAGUGGCGAAGGCGGCUUACUGGACUGUAACUGACGUUGAGGCUCGAAAGCGUGGGGAGCAAACAGGAUUAGAUACCCCCGUAAA